GACGAACGCUGGCGGCGUGCUUAACACAUGCAAGUCGAACGGACAGGCCCUGCGUUUGUGGGGCUCUCGAGUGGCGAACGGGUGAGUAACACGUGAGUAAACUGCACUUGACUUUGGGAUAACUUCAGGAAACAGGGGCGAAUACCGGAUAGGAGAUCCUGAUGCAUGGUGGGGGAUGGAGAGUUUCGGCGGUGGGGGAUGGACUCGCGGCGUAUCAGCUGGUUGGUGGGGUAGUGGCUUACAAAGGCUAUGACGGGUAGCCGGCCUGAGAGGGUGGUCGGCCACACUGGAACGGAGCCACGCUCCAGGCUCCUGCGGGAGGCCGCAGUAGGGUAUCUUCCGCAAUGGGCGAAAGCUUUACGGAGCGGCGCCGCGUGAGUUAUGAAGGUCUUCGGAUCGUGAUACUCUGUUAUUAGGGAAGAACAAAUGUGUAAGGAACUAUGCACGUCGUGACGGUACCGAGUCAGAAAGCCACGGCUAACUACGUG
Molecule: ribosomal RNA, 488 nt
Filed under: uncultured bacterium
Lineage: Bacteria
Description: partial 16S ribosomal RNA
Rfam family: Bacterial small subunit ribosomal RNA
Source: RNAcentral